This is a long non-coding RNA of Hirundo rustica (Barn swallow), 3163 nucleotides long. RefSeq lists it as uncharacterized. The transcript has 3 exons. The record is from RefSeq and is a predicted model, not a curated record. Lineage: Eukaryota; Metazoa; Chordata; Aves; Passeriformes; Hirundinidae.
AAGCCCCUAAUUGCAAAAUUAUAAUAAUUUGGAGGGAAGGGGGUUUACAUUCUCCAUUCCAAGGGAGGAUCUAGCUUUCCUUAGCAGACAACUGUCUUUCAAAAUCAAGACACCACCACUGGAGAUUUUCAAGACCUGGAUGAAAUAAGGGAAUGAGCAACCUGGUCAGACCUCAGUUGACCAGCAGAAGAUAAGACUUAUAGACCCCUGAGAUCUCUCAAAUGGAGGUUGUUGGGAUCAGCCCUGCAGACAUUGUCCUCUGUCACUGCCUGUAUCUUCCCAUUCCUCCAAGACACAUCUCCAAGGAGUGGUGUUGAAAAGUGGUUCUGGUGUGGCAAGUAUCCAUGGGAGACAAAGCAGCAGAGGGAUGGGAAGACCAUCUGCGGGGAGCAGCCACCAUCUUGUCUUCUUCUGGAGAAGCCAUGUGCUACUGUGUGGGAACGGUCACCAUCUUAUCCUUGUCCCGAGGCUGUGCAGAUUCAACCUACAGGGAGCGUCCACCAUCCCACCUUUGUCCUGGCAGCCACACAGAACUAAGUCAAGGUGGUGAACAGCUCUUGUGUAUAAAGCCCCUUCUCUUUUUGUAUACUUUUGUUAUUUAUAUUGCUGUUGUUGGUGUGUGUUCCUUAUUCCAAGGCUGUUUUCUUUCAGUUAAUUGUUACCUCAGCCUUUGUCCAUCUCUUAUUGGAAGGGGCAAGGGGGAGGGAAUUGACUUAUUUGGAGUCUAAUUUCCAGCUGGUGUUAGACCAUCACACCAUCUCAAGUUAAUUUUCAUAUUUAUCAUAGCUGAUGAACUAUAUCUUUGUCUGGGAUGAUCAAGUGAAGUAUUAAUAGGCUGAUUAGUCUUUGGGGGAUGAUAGACAAAAAAAACUGCAGAGACAUGUUACUAUGUUCGACUUUUAUUUUGUGAUUUCUGAGCCAUAUGAAAUGAGCGCACAUUUCUUCGUUCAGAGUUUGCUUACACAUUGUUAUGGCUGAAUCCUUUACCCUUUUUCUACAUGUUUAGGCAUGCAAUUGUUUGGACAUCCCAGAUUUUCACUACCCCAGAAAUUAUUUUCUUUAUAAGACACCUAAACCAAAAUAAUAUUUCACUUAAUUGGUUUUGAUAAGUCAGCAUGGCCUCUAUUCUCAUGAAAUGUCUGCUUGGCCUACUGUUUCUUUUUCCUGUUUCUGGGCUUCAUCUACUGUCAAAAAUUGGUAUUGUCAUACUCUUUUACCAGUCAGGCUUUUAAGCUAUUUCUCAUGUACUUUAUGGUGUUAUAUAACUAUGUAAGCACUUACAUAAUGGAAGACGAAGGCAAAACGAAUAGCUGAGUAGCACUAAAAUUAUGUUCACACCAUAUAUUUCCCUCAUAAUAAGGCUGCUAUCCAGAAUAACAUUUUAAGUUUUGGUCCUCUCUUGAAACCAGAGAAUUCAAGUCCAAAGUCACACUGGAUAUUUUCAUAGCACUGUAAUUUAGUAGAGAACAGUAUUGAUGCUCUUGAUGUAGUGCUGCUGAGAUACCCGCCUACGCCUAUACGCACAUUUAUUUCUUUAAACAGGCUAGAGGACAGACCCAAGCAGUAUUUUCCUCACCAUUCAUUUCUGAGCAUUAGCCCUCGCGUGUCUGGGCAUAACAACAACAUCCCAGCCCCAGCUCAGGAAUCAGUGCAUGCUGUAGAUCCAUCCAGUGUAAUUCAAAUGCAUCCACCUCCUGGGUUUGUGGAGAUAAGGAAUGAACUGUGUGUUGUCUGGCCUUGGGUGCAUGCAAUAUCAGUCAAUCCAUGCUAUCAACCCCUAGGUUUGCCAAAACCACUUGCCAAAACCUUGACUAACAGAUUGUUAAUGGUGUCGAUAAUGUCCCAGCACAGCCACAAUGUGCUAGGAGCUGGUGGGAAGCUUAGGCAUGGACAGCCAGAAAAUAUUUAUUACUUCAGAAAAGAGGAAAGAGAACCGGGAUUGGGAAUUACAUUUCAUAACAACAAGCUCAUUAAAUUAUUGCUAAUUAUUCUUUUUUAUUGUUGUCUAAUCUUCUUAAUAAUCAUUAAAGUGUUGAGGUUAAUUCUCCUUUUACAGCCACAGGAGGAGUAUUAUCAACUGCUUUCCAGCAGUCAGUCGGGAAGACUCUGAAAAAGCAUUCUGUCAGUAUGGGGUAGAAGGGGUCACUUGCUUUUAACAUAGAACUUGAGCAGCUUUUUUCACCAUGUAUACAGUGGGAGGUACAGGUGAGGUUCUUAGUCUGAGAGGUCCUUUUGUCCAAAGGCUUAUGUGAAUGACAGUGAUAGGACAUAAUUCAAAACAAGCCUACAGUGGUUCCAAAUGAAGAGUUUGAAAUAGGUUGGAAUUAUCCCUCUGCAGGGUUAACACUAGCAGUGCAUAGAGCCUCAAGAUAGGAACAUAGAUGGGAUAGCUCCAGAGACACUGGUCCAUACUGGGCUCACAGCCAAGAUCUGGGCAUAGGGCAUGCAUUGUGGACUCUGACCCAGUCUGAUGUGCCAUGGCAUUGUACCAGGGCAGUUCAGCACAGAGAAACUCAGGUGGCGCCAUGUUGUACUUGGUAAUCUGUGAUUACAUGGUGAUCUGUGCAGGCUUGCUCUGAACACUGACUACAGGAUUGCUCCCGGGAGAUGGAUCAAUGGCUGGCUUUUAAAAUGAAAUUCAGUAUCUCUGCAAGAGCUUAACCUUCCCCUACUUCUUCUUAUGAACUGCUCCAACAUUUAAUUUUCAUCCUCAGGGAAGUGGCCUGACUUCAACUUCUAACAACUGUGCUAUCUCAUGCUCUUUUCUGUAGGUCUGAAAUAUUUUUUUAUAUGCUACAAUGGAAAUUACAAGCACACAUUAAUUACUAUGGACUAGUAACCUCCAUAGCUUCUCUCUGACGAGCUAGAGUGUGCUUUUCAAGUUUUGCAUCACAAGGCUCCUUUUUUUUUUUUUCUUCUUUUCUUCUGAAUCUGACCUCUUUUAAGACUGUACUUUGAACACCUUGCAAGGGUUGAAGUGUGAGUAUAUAAUCAGUCACUCAGUGUUGGUCAGUUACAUAUAAAGUCUACUGUUGGUGGCCCUGAAUUAGUUAUUAUAUUGUUUAGAAGUGAGGCUUCAUUUCACCCUUUUUAUUAUCUCUAAAUAUUGGAAAUAUAUGAGCAGAUGUCUUCCAGAGGGUUUUUUCCAUAUUCAAAGAUUAAU